UAAAGAAUACACAAACACCCUGCUGUGGAUGAUUCUCACACCAGAAGUGCUACAAUCAUCUUCCCUCACUGGAAAGAAAAGCAACGCUUUUAAAGAUGUGAGAGCCAAAAAGAAGCUGCCUGGUGUAGUUCAUAAUUGAUUAUAUCAAAGAACAGACCCGUUCUCCUGAUGUUCAACCAGUCAAAACGGCCAUCACUCACCUCUUGAACACCGAAGACAAACGCUUGCUGAAGAAGUGUGAUACCGCUGAUUAAAGGCUUGCCCUGAAGUUAAUGUUCAAUAUUUCAUCCAAGAAAAUUGUCACUUUUUGUGUAUUGCUUGUGUAUUUGUGAAAUAAAUUUUAUAUUUAAAUGUU
Thalassophryne amazonica is the source of this 355-nucleotide long non-coding RNA. RefSeq lists it as uncharacterized. Lineage: Eukaryota; Metazoa; Chordata; Actinopteri; Batrachoidiformes; Batrachoididae. The transcript has 2 exons. The record is from RefSeq and is a predicted model, not a curated record.